AGCCUAAGCAAGACCUGAAGCACCUCAGAGCGCCGACCUCCAAGUUCUCCUCCACUGCCACCACCCUCAUUGCACCCCGGCUCACCUUCUCAUCCCACCCACCCCUUCCCUGCUCAGUGGUGUCCUGCACGCCAGCAACCUGCAGGGUGAUUUAGUAAACUGCCCCCUGCUCCGGUUCCUGUUCCUGCUCCUGCUCCUCCUCCUCCACCUCCUCCUGCCAGCUCUCGCUCACGCCUCCUCUUCCAGUCCCGGCGCCCAGACUUCGCAAAGCUCAGCGCCCGCCGCCUGCAGCCCCACGGGGCUGCCCAGCGCAGCGCGCUCCUGCUCCUUCUCGCCGCAGCCAGGGGGCACGGGCGCUGGCAAAGGACGCUCGAGGGCCCAGCGCCCCUGGACGCAGCGUGCCCCAGAACUGGGUGUUGAGAGAAGCUGUGCUUUGCUAAAGCUCAGGAGAGAACGGAGCGCGUUCGGAGUGCGACUUCGGGAGCCAGCGGGACGCCCCAGGUUGCCUAGUGCGACGCGGCUGCACGCACGGUCCACAAGAAUCCUGAUUUUGUUUGGAUAG
This 562-nucleotide long non-coding RNA is filed under the name Suricata suricatta (meerkat). Its description in RNAcentral is "lncRNA (ENSSSUG00005007972.1)". The record is from RNAcentral. Lineage: Eukaryota; Metazoa; Chordata; Mammalia; Carnivora; Herpestidae.